GCCCCAUUCGUCUAUCGGUUAGGACGUCAGAUUUUCAUUCUGAAAAGAGGAGUUCGACUCUCCUAUGGGGUACCA
Molecule: transfer RNA, 75 nt
Filed under: Bacteroidales bacterium
Lineage: Bacteria; Pseudomonadati; Bacteroidota; Bacteroidia; Bacteroidales
Description: tRNA-Glu
Rfam family: tRNA
About the family: Transfer RNA (tRNA) molecules are approximately 80 nucleotides in length.
Source: RNAcentral